GCGCGAGUGGCGGAAUUGGUAGACGCGCUGGCUUCAGGUGCCAGUGUCUUCACGGACGUGGGGGUUCAAGUCCCCCCUCGCGCA
This 84-nucleotide transfer RNA is filed under the name Micrococcus sp. RNAcentral's name for it is "tRNA-Leu". It matches the Rfam family "tRNA". From Rfam's summary of the family: Transfer RNA (tRNA) molecules are approximately 80 nucleotides in length. Their secondary structure includes four short double-helical elements and three loops (D, anti-codon, and T loops). Further hydrogen bonds mediate the characteristic L-shaped molecular structure. tRNAs have two regions of fundamental functional importance: the anti-codon, which is responsible for specific mRNA codon recognition, and the 3' end, to which the tRNAs corresponding amino acid is attached (by aminoacyl-tRNA synthetases). tRNAs cope with the degeneracy of the genetic code in two manners: having more than one tRNA (with a specific anti-codon) for a particular amino acid; and 'wobble' base-pairing, i.e. permitting non-standard base-pairing at the 3rd anti-codon position. The record is from RNAcentral. Lineage: Bacteria; Bacillati; Actinomycetota; Actinomycetes; Micrococcales; Micrococcaceae. RNAcentral also lists the same sequence under 9 other names.